GACGAACGCUGGCGGCGUGCCUAAUACAUGCAAGUCGAACGCAGUGGGGACGGGUGAGUAACCCGUGGGUAACCUCCCAUCAGAGGGGAUAAGACUUCGAAACAGGCGCUAAACCCAUACUGAUGGAUGGACCCUGGGGGAAUUAGCUAGUGGGUGGGGUAACGGCUCACCAAGGCCACGAAGCAUAGCCGGUCUGAGAGGUUGAUCGGCCACACUGGAACUGAGACACGGUCCAGACUCCUACGGGAGGCAGCAGUGGGGAAUAUUCGGCAAUGGACGAAAGCCUGACAGAGCCAUGCCGCGUGAGUGAAGAAGGUUUUCGGGUUGUAAAACACUUUUGUUAGAGAAGCGGUAUCUAAACAGAAAGCAACGGCUAACUACGUGCCAGCAGCCGCGGUAAUAC
Molecule: ribosomal RNA, 403 nt
Filed under: uncultured bacterium
Lineage: Bacteria
Description: partial 16S ribosomal RNA
Rfam family: Bacterial small subunit ribosomal RNA
Source: RNAcentral